RNAcentral lists this long non-coding RNA (267 nucleotides) under Solanum tuberosum (potato). RNAcentral's name for it is "long non-coding RNA (STUB_LNC001889)". Lineage: Eukaryota; Viridiplantae; Streptophyta; Magnoliopsida; Solanales; Solanaceae. The record is from RNAcentral.
AUAUGUUGCCAUAUGUUGGAAGAAAUAAAAAAAAGUCUUGUUACUGAUUUGAUUUCUUCUAAUCUAUGACUCAUCUGUUGCAACGGAUAGGGCAUCUAUUAAAAAUAACAUAACAAUAAAAUAUUUUUUUCACAACACUAAAAUAUUUAUUACCAAUACUACCUACAACACCAACAAAAUCAAAAACACUAAAAACACCACACAAGCUAUUUUACCAAUUAAACAACAUCGAUCUCAUGUUUUUACCAAUAUACUAAGAGCACCAAC